GUGCCAGCAGCCGCGGUAAUACGGAGGGGGCAAGCGUUAUUCGGAAUCAUUGGGCGUAAAGGGCGCGUAGGCGGCUUGGCAAGUCGAAGGUGAAAUCCCCCGGCUCAACCGGGGAACUGCCUUCGAAACUGCCAGGCUAGAGUCCGGGAGAGGGUAGUGGAAUUCCCAGUGUAGCGGUGAAAUGCGUAGAUACUGGGAGGAACACCAGUGGCGAAGGCGGCUACCUGGACCGGAACUGACGCUGAGGCGCGAAAGCGUGGGGAGCAAACAGGAUUAGAUACCCGAGUAGUCC
This 292-nucleotide ribosomal RNA is filed under the name uncultured bacterium. Its description in RNAcentral is "partial 16S ribosomal RNA". It matches the Rfam family "Bacterial small subunit ribosomal RNA", at positions 505 to 796 of the family's 1533-position model. The record is from RNAcentral.